Molecule: non-coding RNA, 75 nt
Organism: Podarcis lilfordi (Lilford's wall lizard)
Lineage: Eukaryota; Metazoa; Chordata; Lepidosauria; Squamata; Lacertidae
Source: the annotation of a GenBank genome assembly
GGAAGGGCAGUAGCUCAAUGGUAGGCCAUUUGCUUUUCAUGCAAAAGGUCUGAGGUUCUGUCCCCAGCAUUUCCA